Molecule: ribosomal RNA, 602 nt
Filed under: Amolops cf. chunganensis KIZ YP 0202-1
Lineage: Eukaryota; Metazoa; Chordata; Amphibia; Anura; Ranidae
Description: partial 16S ribosomal RNA
Rfam family: Archaeal large subunit ribosomal RNA (bases 346-594)
Source: RNAcentral
UUAUUUGAAGCGGGGUACAACCCCUAAUACUGGGUUUAAUCUAGAUACACUAAAUUAAGUGGGCCUAAAAGCAGCCAUCUUCCAAAAAGCGUUAAAGCUUGAUAUAUUCAUAUCUUCAAUUCCAUAAUUUUUACUUAACCCUUCAUUACUACUGAACUAUUUUAUACCCCUAUAAAAGUCAUUAUGCUAGAACUAGUAACAAGAAAUAGCCUUUCUCCUAAAUGUAUGUUUGAACCAGAGUGGACUCUCCACUGGUGACUAACGCAAAUGUAAAUAUCAUAGUACACACGGCUAGAAAACCCUAUGUUUACCAAACGUCAACCUUACACUAGAACAUUACAGGAAAGAUUAAAAGAGAAAGAAGGAACUCGGCAAAUCACAGUCCCGCCUGUUUACCAAAAACAUCGCCUCUUGACUAAAUAUAAGAGGUCCAGCCUGCCCAGUGACAUAGUUUAACGGCCGCGGUACCCUAACCGUGCGAAGGUAGCAUAAUCACUUGUUCUUUAAAUAAGGACUUGUAUCAACGGCAUCACGAGGGCUGUACUGUCUCCUUUCUCCAAUCAGUGAAACUGAUCUCCCCGUGAAGAAGCGAGGAUGAACCU